GCCGCCGUAGCUCAGCGGGAGAGCGCCCGGCUGAUCCGACCGGGAGGUCCGGGGUUCGAAUCCCCGCGGCGGCACCA
RNAcentral lists this transfer RNA (77 nucleotides) under Pyrolobus fumarii 1A. Its description in RNAcentral is "tRNA-Phe". It matches the Rfam family "tRNA". From Rfam's summary of the family: Transfer RNA (tRNA) molecules are approximately 80 nucleotides in length. Their secondary structure includes four short double-helical elements and three loops (D, anti-codon, and T loops). Further hydrogen bonds mediate the characteristic L-shaped molecular structure. tRNAs have two regions of fundamental functional importance: the anti-codon, which is responsible for specific mRNA codon recognition, and the 3' end, to which the tRNAs corresponding amino acid is attached (by aminoacyl-tRNA synthetases). tRNAs cope with the degeneracy of the genetic code in two manners: having more than one tRNA (with a specific anti-codon) for a particular amino acid; and 'wobble' base-pairing, i.e. permitting non-standard base-pairing at the 3rd anti-codon position. The record is from RNAcentral. Lineage: Archaea; Thermoproteati; Thermoproteota; Thermoprotei; Desulfurococcales; Pyrodictiaceae.